RNAcentral lists this ribosomal RNA (554 nucleotides) under Fructobacillus fructosus. RNAcentral describes it as "bacterial SSU rRNA". It matches the Rfam family "Bacterial small subunit ribosomal RNA", at positions 112 to 654 of the family's 1533-position model. Lineage: Bacteria; Bacillati; Bacillota; Bacilli; Lactobacillales; Lactobacillaceae. The record is from RNAcentral.
AACACGUGAAUAACCUACCUCAAAGUCUGGGAUAACCAUUGGAAACAGUGACUAAUACCGGAUAAAACCCAGGUGCGCAUGCACCAAGGUUAAAAGCUGCGUUUGCAGCGCUUUAAGAUGGAUUCGCGGUGCAUUAGUUAGUUGGUGAGGUAAAGGCUCACCAAGACGAUGAUGCAUAGCCGAGUUGAGAGACUGACCGGCCACAUUGGGACUGAGACACGGCCCAAACUCCUACGGGAGGCUGCAGUAGGGAAUCUUCCACAAUGGGCGCAAGCCUGAUGGAGCAACGCCGCGUGUGUGAUGAAGGCUUUCGGGUCGUAAAGCACUGUUGUAUGGGAAGAACGGGUUUAAGAGGAAAUGCUUAGACAGUGACGGUACCAUACCAGAAAGGGACGGCUAAAUACGUGCCAGCAGCCGCGGUAAUACGUAUGUCCCGAGCGUUAUCCGGAUUUAUUGGGCGUAAAGCGAGCGCAGACGGUUCGAUAAGUCUGAAGUGAAAGCCCACAGCUCAACUGUGGAAUGGCUUUGGAAACUGUCGAACUUGAGUGCAGUAG